GAUGAACGCUAGCGGGAGGCUUAAUACAUGCAAGUCGAGGGGUAACAUGAGUGCUUGCACUUGAUGACGACCGGCGCACGGGUGAGUAACGCGUACACGAUCUACCUUUAAGAGGGGGAUAGCCUUUGGAAACGAAGAUUAAUACCCCAUAGUAUUACGAUAAGUAAAGAGUUGUAAUUAAAGCUACGGCGCUUAAAGAUGAGUGUGCGUCCCAUUAGUUAGUUGGUAAGGUAACGGCUUACCAAGACGAUGAUGGGUAGGGGGCGUGAGAGCGUGACCCCCCACACGGGUACUGAGACACGGACCCGACUCCUACGGGAGGCAGCAGUAAGGAAUAUUGGACAAUGGGCGCAAGCCUGAUCCAGCCAUCCCGCGUGGAGGAUGACUGCCCUAUGGGUUGUAAACUCCUUUUAGAUAGGAAGAAACGCCAAGGUUUACUUUGGUCUGACGGUACUAUCAGAAUAAGCACCGGCUAACUCCG
Molecule: ribosomal RNA, 481 nt
Filed under: uncultured Saprospiraceae bacterium
Lineage: Bacteria; Pseudomonadati; Bacteroidota; Saprospiria; Saprospirales; Saprospiraceae
Description: bacterial SSU rRNA
Rfam family: Bacterial small subunit ribosomal RNA
Source: RNAcentral